UACAGAGGGUGCGAGCGUUAAUCGGAAUUACUGGGCGUAAAGCGUGCGUAGACGGCUAUCUAAGUCGGGUGUGAAAGCCCCGGGCUCAACCUGGGAAUUGCAUUCGAGACUGAAUAGCUAGGGUACGGUAGAGGGAAGUGGAAUUUCCGGUGUAGCGGUGAAAUGCGUAGAUAUCAGGAGGAACACCGGUGGCGAAGGCGGGUCUCUGGGCCGUAACUGACGCUGAGGAGCGAAAGCGUGGGGAGCGAACAGG
This 253-nucleotide ribosomal RNA is filed under the name uncultured bacterium. RNAcentral describes it as "partial 16S ribosomal RNA". It matches the Rfam family "Bacterial small subunit ribosomal RNA", at positions 524 to 776 of the family's 1533-position model. The record is from RNAcentral.